This is a long non-coding RNA of Pezoporus flaviventris, 1609 nucleotides long. RefSeq lists it as uncharacterized. NCBI's taxonomy places the organism in Eukaryota, Metazoa, Chordata, Aves, Psittaciformes, Psittacidae. The record is from RefSeq and is a predicted model, not a curated record. The transcript has 2 exons.
UAGAAAGGUUGGAACAGAUGAUUCUUGAGGCCUCUUCCAACCUGGGAUUUUGGGAUUCCAUGAUCUCGUCCCCAGAAAGGCACAAUCCCCUCUUAGGAUAGCCAAGGGAGCACCCACAAGCUCCUCACUGUGAACUGAUGCAGCUCCGCUCUGUAUCAUCUGUGUUCCAGCACACUGGGAUGGGUCAGCGUGAUUCCAGACCACUUUUAUUUGGGACAGAAAGCUGCUUAAAUAUAAGAUUUGUUAUUUUCACAUUUUAAUGUCAUUUUGAACUGAAAAUAAGGGGUUUAUUUUGCUUUCCUUUUCCCUGCUAAACACAUGGGCCAUCAUCUUCGAGAAGAAAAGCAAAGCCCUCUCUUUCAAGUCUCCCAUCAAUGUCACACAUUGAGAGUCUGCCUGAGGGCAGCUGCAGGCACAGAGCCUGCAGCCCCUACAACUCUUUCUUCUACGCAAUCAAAUCACCUUAUAGAACCCCAUAAAAUCCAAAAGACCCUGUUUUAAACAGCAAAACCUUCCCAAAGGAAGGAUUCUGUGGUCCUGUGCGGAGUCACCCAAAAUUCAGACCCAUCCUUCCCUCCGGCAAAAGCCAAACUUUUCCUUGUGCAAUUCUCAACACAAGUUCAUUUUAGUACCAUAGAAGGGGUCUCAGAACACAACUCUCCAUCCAAUCUCUCUCUCUCCAGGUCAAACAGGUUGCGGUUAACUGUCUUGAGGAUAAAGCACUCACUGAAGAUUCAGUGCUCAUUUUGAAUGAGCAAAACCCAGCAGUUCAUGUGCAGGAAACUAAAGACCAAAGCUAGAAUUCCUGAUACCACCAAAUAUUAAGGCUUCUCUGUAUCACCCAAAAGCAAAACCAGGCAAACAAGCAGGAAAAACCCCACUCUGUAAGUCCCUUCAACACUAAACCUCUAUUUUUCUUGCAGCAAAGCUACUGUGGUGUCAUUAACACACAAAACUCUCCCUUCUAAACCAUAACUGCAACAGACCCAACUAAUGUGGACACAUUUAAAGGCGUGUUUAUGACUAUCUGGAAGACAGAACCAGUGUUAACAGCUCCUCUUCCUCAGACAUAAGCCUUUGCCUACAUUGCUUGGCUUGAUUUCACACAUCCAUGAGUUCAGAGCCUUUCUAUCACAGUUAAGAUAUUCUCUCUUCCCAUCCUGCCCUUCACCAGGCUCAAGUUAUGAGUAUUCACAUGGAAACACAGUGGUUAUCAGCAACAUCUACAACCUGUGGCUGAGCUUAAAUGCAUGCAAGGGUCCACAACACCACAGAAGCCUGUUUUCAUAGGUCAGGUGCAUGAUUCAUAUCUACCAUCUCCUCCCAGGAAAAGGGAAGGUCACAACGGGAAAAGGGAAGGUCACAAUGGAAUCAAAGCGGCAACACAACAAAGGUUUACUGGCAAAAAGACACUGGUUAAAUAAAUUUUAUCCGUAUGUUGAGAAAUGGGCAUGAUUCUAUUUGAAAGCUUUGGAAGGGGUACUGAUGAAAGCACACAUUAAGAUGAACUCUUACAGUGAUCAACCAUUACAGUCAUUUACUCUCAACAGGACUUUCAUGAGACAUAUUUAUAUAGUCAAUAAUUAAAUAGAAAACCAAGGAUGAGUGU